This 1457-nucleotide long non-coding RNA is filed under the name Capsella grandiflora. RNAcentral's name for it is "long non-coding RNA (CGRA_LNC000885)". The record is from RNAcentral. Lineage: Eukaryota; Viridiplantae; Streptophyta; Magnoliopsida; Brassicales; Brassicaceae.
CCUAAAUCACAACAUUUUCUCUCUUCUUUUCUCUUCGCCGUCUCCGAUCUCGCUGUGUGUCGAUCUGCUCCAUCGUCGAAAUCUGGAACUCGCCAUCUUUUUCUUCUUUCUUCUUCUUUCUUAUUCUUCUUCUUCUUCUUCUUCGAUUCGCCGAUCUUGUCGUUGUUGAAUCUGGGCAAAUUGUUGUUGCAAUAAUUGGGAAGCAAUCAGUCAAGUUUAGGCUCAUGUUUAUCAACCGAUGGCUUGUAAGUAUCGUCCUCUUUAAACUUGUAGGGCAUAGAUCUCGCUGGAAUUUGUUGACUUUUCUAGGAAUUGAACUGGCUGUUGGAAGGAAUCUUCCUACUGUUGAUAUUUGUCACGUUAAGAGGCUUAAUUUGUUCAAAUCUGUUAGGUUUGUGGUUUAGAAUCUGUAAGCUUUUGAGAAACUUGACUCUAUCAAUGGCUCAUGUGAAAUUACAUUUGAUAAGAGAAAGGGUUACGUCUUCCCUGGUUUUAAAAAGAUUGUUUUUGGCUGAGAUACCUAUGUUCUAUUGUGUCAUUUCCAAUAAGAAUUUUAGUUGAAACUCCUUUUGUGUUCUGCUCUUAUAAUUGUUCUCCUGAUUUCGUUAUCUUGACAUAAUUGAGUUCAUGUGUGGUUAAGAAGGUACACAGUUUGAUACAUCGUGAUGUGUUGGUCGUUGUUGUUUAACUAGUCUUCAUUUAUUAGCGUUAUUGGAUGUGAUCUUGCCGAUGCUACGAUUCAGUUAGUUCCGUCAUAGUUAUAAUCUCGUUGGUCCCCAUGGCUAUUGGUUUUCAGGUUUUUACAUGUGAUUUUGCAUAUAAGAUUAAACUGAUUUUGACUGCACAAUGCAUAUAGUAGUUAUGCAUAAUCAAAUUAUAAUAGCUCAGUUUGCUGAUACUAACAUGUUCAUUGACUUUCACUUACGUGUGUCUUAGGUUUUGGGAGUGAGUGAGUAAUGAGUAUCGGUGGAGUGAGCUAACUUGUCUAGCUAUAAUUUGUUCGUUGUUUGUUCUACAUUGCAUCACAGUUGGUUUUUUGAAAAACUUUUGAUUAGUGGAAUGCUAUGAUGGAACUUAGGUUGUAUGAGACUAGUUGAUUACCUUUUAUGUAUCUUCAUUCCCAACUUCCACGUCAUCGUGAGUCUUCACACGUCUUAGAAGAGGAAUUGAAUUGUUUGUUUCGUGUUGAUGUUGAUAGGAUGGAAUUGACGAAGCUGAAGAUCCAAGAGCUGCAGUCAUGAGAGAGCUUGAAGAAGGACUGAAGUUCAUGAUUAUAAUACUCAUCCAUAUUUGUAAAAUGCAAGACCAAGUCUUUGUGUGUGUGUAUUGAUCAUAAUAUAUUAACUAGUGGAACGUAACCGCCUGUUGUAACAUAAAAAAUAACAGUGUCUACAUAUAUGAGAGCUUGCACGUACUAUAACGUAAAUUCAUGUAUUUAUAAGGUUAUAAUAAUGUUU